AAGAGGUCCAGCCUGCCCAGUGAAAUUAUUCAACGGCCGCGGUAUCCUAACCGUGCGAAGGUAGCGUAAUCACUUGUUCUUUAAAUGAGGACUAGUAUGAAUGGCACCACGAGGGUUCUACUGUCUCCUUUUUUUAAUCAGUGAAACUAAUCUCCCCGUGAAGAAGCGGGGAUCUUUAUAUAAGACGAGAAGACCCUAUGGAGCUUUAAACAACCAACAUUUGCUACACCAUAACAUUUUCCCUAAAAGAAGUAUAGCAUUAUGAUUAUUAGUUUUCGAUUGGGGUGAUCACGGAGUAAAAUAUAACCUCCAUGCCGAAAGGGUUCUUACCCUGAGCAAAAAGCCACAACUUUAAGCACUAAAAAAUUAACGCAGUUGACCCA
This 383-nucleotide ribosomal RNA is filed under the name Boana boans (rusty treefrog). RNAcentral's name for it is "partial 16S ribosomal RNA". It matches the Rfam family "Archaeal large subunit ribosomal RNA", at positions 1939 to 2452 of the family's 2987-position model. Lineage: Eukaryota; Metazoa; Chordata; Amphibia; Anura; Hylidae. The record is from RNAcentral.